AACGCAACUUGCGCUCUCUGGUAUUCCGGAGAGCAUGCCUGUUUGAGUGUCAUGAAAUCUCAACCAUUAGGGUUUCUUAAUGGCUUGGAUUUGGGUGUUGCCAGUCUCUGGCUCGCCUUAAAGGAGUUAGCGAGUUUAACAAUGUCCUCUGGCGUAAUAAGUUUCGCUGGAAAGGCUUGUGAAGUUUGCUUCUAAUCGUCUUCGGACAAUUACUUUGACUCUGGCCUCAAAUCAGGUAGGACUACCCGCUGAACUUAA
This 258-nucleotide unclassified non-coding RNA is filed under the name uncultured fungus. RNAcentral's name for it is "sequence contains ITS2". The stretch from base 1 to 52 matches the Rfam family "5.8S ribosomal RNA", at positions 103 to 154 of the family's 154-position model. Lineage: Eukaryota; Fungi. The record is from RNAcentral.